UUUGGAGAUUUUGAUGAGAAAGGCUGCAUUUUGAGGCUGUCAUAAGAAAUACCCAAAUUUCAUUAUUUUUCCACCUUUGUGAGUCGGAUUUUGCAAUAAAUAUCUGUCUAUGCAUUAGAUGUGUAAAGUUUGCAUUGCGUAUCUUAUAGAUUCUACUAGAAUUGCGCAGAUACGCAUGUGCGCAGACUAUGGUACCUUGAGCGAAGUUCGUGCAGGAUCGAUCCACUCCACUUAAUUACCACUAGGGCCUACACCAUGCUCCACUUACACGAACUUCGAGACCAUGAACUCGAUCUGAUAUUCUGAGUGACAAAAGGUGGGAUUUUAUGGGGGUGAAAUAUGAAAUUCAUGCAACAUCACGAUCUUUACACAAAGUUUCACUUCUUUCCAUGCUUCUAUUAGUAUUAGUCUCAAAAUUGGUGAUUUGAAUUAUAGCCUACAUGAACUGUGAUGAAGAUCCUCACACAUAAAAUAAUUCACUGCCGAUGAUCGCAUGCGGAUGCGAUAUGCGCGAGGUACCGGGUCCGGUACAAGCUCGGACCGGGCCGUCCUCAAGCACAUAGCCUACGUGUAAUGUAGGCCUGGCUAGAUCUAUUUCUAGUCAACUUUAUUCAAUUUUGUACGUCUACAUAUGUGUAUGUUAAACCCCAUUAAAAUCUAGGUCUAUACUAUAGGUCCAAACCUAGAUCUAAAUCCUGGCCUAGCUUGGCCAAUAGUCCCUUAUUGGCCAGCCUAGCGAGGACAGGCCUACAUGCAAAUAGCAACAGAUCUAAAUGUUACAUUGUAAUUGCAGAUGUAUGUACAGUUUGUGAAUGAUCAGAAACUAAUUUUGAAUCUGAGAUACAGGAAUUACAUUUAGGUUGACUUCAUGUAAAUUCCCCACUGUGCACAGGGGAAUUUUUUAUUGAGAAUUUCUACAAUUUAUCCACUUAUUCCAUCAGUUCUCUAUAGAAUAGUCAGAUAACUUGUGUAAUAAUUAAUGUUACUAUUCUUGAUCUUUGAUUCAUGUUUAUCACAGUUAAAUGUUGCAGAAGAUGAGCACGAAGAAGACACCUACUGGAUGCAAUAUUACUCAUCACCUGACAACAUUGUUGUUAAUGUGACGAACCUCUGUACCGAGAUAUGAGUUGACUAGAGGAAACCCGCGACCAAGCACAGCAGAAAUUCUUGACAAAUAUCUACAGCUUUUGGGAAUGAUUGAUCAAGACUUUGAUUUAACAAUUGAUGCAGCUCCUGGUGCCCUUUUCACAAUGUGGCCAAAGUUGUCCAGGCAGACUUUGGAAUUUGCGGAGAAGAUUAAUCAAGGGUAUAGAAAGAUCCUAGGGGCUGGAGUGGACCAGAAAAUGACGCAGAGUCAACAAUGAAGAAAAUUUGACUUUCAGUACUUCCUGGGAUUUCGAUCAGCAGAACGAAAGGGGAAUGAGGCAAAUUAAAUGUGCCGUACUUCAAAGUCUUGAAUCUUUCAUCAAUCUCCAAUUAGAAGGAGCAUGAAGAAAAAGAAGAUGAACAGGAAUUGACAAUGGCGCGUUCCAUAACUGGGAGUGAUUGCACAGUGGCACCCUUGGACCUAAUUUCACCCUGACAUCAAGUUGGUUUUAAGGAGAACCAUGAGAGAAAUUAAUAAAUUAAAGUUUGGCGAAUAUCAAAGAAUAAGAGUUAUGAGGCUUCAAAGUUUUAAAUUUGUGACAUGACAUGCGAGCAGCUCCCAAUAUGUCAAUCAUGUAAUAUAAAUUCCAUAAAUUGCCAUUUUUUAAUGGUUUUCAUGAUAAUUAAAUGGGUUUUUAUCAGAAGCUUGUAUGAAAUAAUGUUUCUGAUAACAUUGAAUCCACAGGUAAAAUCAUUUCCAAUUUCCCUAGAAAAGGCACUUGUAUAGAAUUGAUAUCACAUAAAAUAUGGGGAGCUGCUCGCAUGUGAAGUCACAAAUUUAAAACUUCAUAACUCUUAUUCUUGGUGGAUUUUCACCAACUAACAUGCAAUGUCAGGAUGAACCUUGCCUUUAAACCUUAUAUUGGCAGCAUUUCAUUGACAUUUACAUACAGUAUUUUAGGUUUUGUGAGCAAGUAUAUGAAAAAGGUGCUAAUUAACACCUACUUCCCCUUCUUAACCCUAAACAGGCCGGGGGGGGGGGGGG
Long non-coding RNA from Lytechinus variegatus (green sea urchin), 2131 nucleotides. RefSeq lists it as uncharacterized. The transcript is spliced from 4 exons. Lineage: Eukaryota; Metazoa; Echinodermata; Echinoidea; Temnopleuroida; Toxopneustidae. The record is from RefSeq and is a predicted model, not a curated record.